Molecule: long non-coding RNA, 1342 nt
Filed under: Coturnix japonica (Japanese quail)
Lineage: Eukaryota; Metazoa; Chordata; Aves; Galliformes; Phasianidae
Description: lncRNA (ENSCJPG00005013044.1)
Source: RNAcentral
GUCUGCAAGGUUUAAUUCUUUUUAAUCCAGAAUAUCAUUUCCCAGUCUUACACGUUCUCUUUUGUUGUGAUGUUAUUAGUCUGGAAAAACCUGACAUGGAAAUAUUGCACUACCUCACAACUUCCAGUAUAGGUAGUUUACUCUCUGUAUUCUAUUCACACAUUGAUAUUCUUGCUGCUCUGGCCAACAUGGGUGCUAAUUAGCAGCUACACUCCUCCUGGCAGGUUGUGUGGGCACCCAUCAAGCAGCACCUGACUUGAAUUUAAUUAACAUCACCAUUUAACUGCUUUGUUAUUUGUUUUGCAGUAGUACCAAGAGGCCCCUGCCAGUGUUGGGAGCUGAAUGCAUAGAAAUGAGGGAGACAAUGAUAAACACUGCAGUGCCCUGAGAGCACUAGUAGACCUUAUUGACUCUGACCAGCCUCACCUGGGCCAAACAGGUGUGUUUAAGUUCAUGUCAGUGAGAUUACCCUUUUCUCAGUCUAUCUUAUGAGUUUGUUUUCUCUUAGUCCUGCUACUGAUUUUGUUUUCAGGGUGGACUUGGUUGUCACUGUCUGCAGUGAGGAAGAGGUAUUCAGCAGUGUCCAUCCCAGAGGAUGAACAGAAGGAAAUCAUGGAACUACCCAUGGCUUUCUCAUCUCUCAGGAGACUCCACCAGGGAAUGAUCUGUCUCACAGACUUGAACCCUUGCAGUUUUCCCUGGUAUCCUGAAGAAGCAGCAUCUGCAGCAGUAAAUAAGAAAAGAUCAAAGAGGCACUCCUAGUAAUUUAUCCAGAUUAAAGAGUGGAACAACAACUGACCCUUUGUUAGACAUCAAAGCACGCUUCUGGGAGGACAGCUGGAAGACACAAGCCUGCAGAUUUACCAUCUCCUUUUGAUGUGCUGCUCAUAAGAUGGCAUAUUAUUCUUCCCUGCGCGCACAAAGACAAAGGUGGAAAUCACAGCAUUUAUAUGGGCAAACAAGGAGGGCACAGAACAAUGCCCCUGACCCAAAUGUUUUCACCAGCUUGGACAGAGGAGGGAUUGAACGAGGGCCCCGUGUUUCAGAUCAGCCCCAGGCUUUGGCCUACUAAUUGUUGUAAGAAAUCUUUCUUUUCUGUCCUUGGAACCAUAGAGAUCUGAAAGCUUUAUUUCUAUAGUUGGGACAAAACAAAAACCUAUUUCAAAGCCAUAGUCUGUCAUGAAGGAACAACACUGUGUUUCAGAUGAUCCUAAUUUUACCAAGUUCCCCUAUUUUAAGGUCAAAAACUGUGGGGUUUUUGAGAUCUUAUACAAAGGCAUCUUGUCUCCAUAGAAAAGCACAAAUGGGAGAAAAUCCAGCCCUUCCAUCAGGGAUUUGUUCC